This 387-nucleotide long non-coding RNA is filed under the name Nicotiana benthamiana. RNAcentral's name for it is "long non-coding RNA (NBEN_LNC004514)". The record is from RNAcentral. Lineage: Eukaryota; Viridiplantae; Streptophyta; Magnoliopsida; Solanales; Solanaceae.
CCAUUUCUUCCAUUCUUUCCAGGCUUCUUUCCUAGCAGAAUCUCCAGUAGUAGGAUUCCAAAAGCGUAAACAUCAGUUCUCGAAUUGCACUUCUUCAUCCUUUGCAGCUCAGGUGGCUUGUAACCAUCAGCUUUUGCUAGUGCUAUGAUUUCAUCAGCUACAGCUGGGAUCAUUAUCUUGUCAAGUCCAAAUUCAGUAAGCCUCGCAACGAAGAAUUUCAGGUGGCUUGUAACCAUCAGCUUUUGCGAGUGCUAUGAUUUCAUCAGCUACAGCUGGGAUCAUUAUCUUGUCAAGUCCAAAUUCAGUAAGCCUGGCAACGAAGAAUUCAUCGACAAGAACAUUCUUUGACCUAACAUUCCCAUGGGUAAUGGGUGUUUCUAGACCGUG